RNAcentral lists this ribosomal RNA (440 nucleotides) under uncultured bacterium. RNAcentral's name for it is "partial 16S ribosomal RNA". It matches the Rfam family "Bacterial small subunit ribosomal RNA", at positions 338 to 795 of the family's 1533-position model. The record is from RNAcentral.
CCUACGGGGGGCAGCAGUGGGGGAUAUUGCACAAUGGGGGGAACCCUGAUGCAGCGACGCCGCGUGGGUGAAGAAGCGCCUCGGCGCGUAAAGCCCUGUCAGCAGGGGAGAAAAUGACGGUACCUGAAGAAGAAGCCCCGGCUAACGACGUGCCAGCAGCCGCGGUUAUACGGAGGGGGCAAGCGUUAUCCGGAUUUACUGGGUGUAAAGCGGGCGCAGGCGGCGAUGCAAGGCAGGAGUGAAAGCCCGGGGACCAACCCCGGGAGUGCGCUUGGAACUGCGUGGCUGGAGUGCAGGAGAGGCAGGCGGAAUGCGUGGUGUAGCGGUGAAAUGCGUAGAUAUCAGGAGGAACACCGGUGGCGAAGGCGGCCUGCUGGACUGCAACUGACGUUGAGGCCCGAAAGCGUGGGGAGCAAACAGGAUUAGAUACCCGGGUAGUC